RNAcentral lists this unclassified non-coding RNA (279 nucleotides) under Melitaea cinxia (Glanville fritillary). RNAcentral describes it as "misc RNA ENSMCXG00005019551.1". Lineage: Eukaryota; Metazoa; Arthropoda; Insecta; Lepidoptera; Nymphalidae. The record is from RNAcentral.
UUCAAACAGCAGGUAAUUGCUAUAAGUCGUUGAAGAGUUCCCUCGACUAUCUUUCGUCUCCAUCAUCAGACUGUAAUGGCACUUGUAACUCAUAUAGGUGCAAAGUUCUCAUCAAUAGAAACGAAUUAAGUUCAAAAACCAGGUAAUUGCUAUAAAUUGUUGAGGAGUUCCCUCUACUAUCUUUCUUCUCCAUCAUCAGAUCGACUCCAGACCUUUAUUAAAUAGUAGUGCUUUAUAGUACCUAAUGAAAACAUGAUUAAAUUUACUAGUCACCCUUAC